AUGUACUACAUGUGCACUGCGGUCCUUGCGUGCUUUCUACACCCACCUGCCGAUUGGUUACUGCAUUUUGUCAGCC
RNAcentral lists this small RNA (76 nucleotides) under Xanthomonas vasicola. Its description in RNAcentral is "sX9 sRNA". It matches the Rfam family "Xanthomonas sRNA sX9". The record is from RNAcentral. Lineage: Bacteria; Pseudomonadati; Pseudomonadota; Gammaproteobacteria; Lysobacterales; Lysobacteraceae.